RNAcentral lists this long non-coding RNA (316 nucleotides) under Phaseolus vulgaris (common bean). RNAcentral's name for it is "long non-coding RNA (PVUL_LNC002025)". Lineage: Eukaryota; Viridiplantae; Streptophyta; Magnoliopsida; Fabales; Fabaceae. The record is from RNAcentral.
AUUUUGUUCAUGUUUUGAAGCCUCAUCGACUACAAUCGUAAGAACUUAUGGCUGACAAGACAGACAAACAACUUUGCCCCGAAGACGUCAAAUGUGAUUUCCGCAACACAUCUGGAUGUCUCGAAAAUUGAAGUCUUCACCCGUUAGAACACACGACGUUGGCAAGAACGUGUGUCCACCCUUUUGGACAAGUACGGAGUCAGAGACGCUUUUGCACUUACGACUUCUAAACCAGACUCAAGCACGGUUGCGAAACAAGUUAAUGAUUGAAUUCAUGCAAAUAAGGUAUGUUGUCACACCCUACUCAGUGUGUUAU